RNAcentral lists this ribosomal RNA (301 nucleotides) under uncultured bacterium. RNAcentral's name for it is "partial 16S ribosomal RNA". It matches the Rfam family "Bacterial small subunit ribosomal RNA", at positions 509 to 807 of the family's 1533-position model. The record is from RNAcentral.
CAGUCGCCACGGUAAUACGAGGGGGGCAAGCGUUGUUCGGAAUUAUUGGGCGUAAAGGGUGCGUAGGCGGUCUGAUAAGUCUGAUGUGAAAUCCCUGGGCUCAACCUGGGAAUUGCAGUGGAUACUGGGUCACUAGAGUGUGGUAGAGGAUAGUGGAAUUUCCGGUGUAGCAGUGAAAUGCGUAGAGAUCGGAAGGAACAUCUGUGGCGAAGGCGACUAUCUGGGCCAACACUGACACUGAGGCACGAAAGCGUGGGGAGCAAACAGGAUUAGAUACCCCAGUAGUCCCUGUCUCUUAUAC